CGCGGCCUAUCAGCUUGUUGGUGGGGUGAUGGCCUACCAAGGCGACGACGGGUAGCCGGCCUGAGAGGGCGACCGGCCACACUGGGACUGAGACACGGCCCAGACUCCUACGGGAGGCAGCAGUGGGGAAUCUUGCGCAAUGGGCGAAAGCCUGACGCAGCGACGCCGCGUGAGGGAUGACGGCCUUCGGGUUGUAAACCUCUUUCAGCCCUGACGAAGCGAAAGUGACGGUAGGGGCAGAAGAAGCACCGGCCAACUACGUGCCAGCAGCCGCGGUAAUACGUAGGGUGCAAGCGUUGUCCGGAAUUAUUGGGCGUAAAGAGCUCGUAGGUGGCCUGUCGCGUCGGCUGUAAAAACUCGGGGCUCAACUCCGAGCUUGCAGUCGAUACGGGCAGGCUAGAGUGCGGCAGGGGAGACUGGAAUUCCUGGUGUAGCGGUGAAAUGCGCAGAUAUCAGGAGGAACACCGGUGGCGAAGGCGGGUCUCUGGGCCGAUACUGACACUGAGGAGCGAAAGCGUGGGGAGCGAACAGGAUUAGAUACCCUGGUAGUCCACGCCGUAAACGUUGGGCGCUAGGUGUGGGAUCCCUUCCACGGGUUCCGUGCCGCAGCUAACGCAUUAAGCGCCCCGCCUGGGGAGUACGG
RNAcentral lists this ribosomal RNA (643 nucleotides) under uncultured bacterium. RNAcentral's name for it is "bacterial SSU rRNA". It matches the Rfam family "Bacterial small subunit ribosomal RNA", at positions 232 to 885 of the family's 1533-position model. The record is from RNAcentral.